CAGUUACGCACCACGAAGUUCACACUCGAUUUUUUCCCUCUCUCUUUCUUGAAUUUUUUAUUUUCCUGGAAAAUUCAAGCCCAAGGGGAGACAACUGCGUCAGAGACGAACCCGAUCAACAUUCAUCUCGUACACAUACAGAGGUAGGAAGAGAGAAGUCAAGAGCGUGUCAUUGAGAUUUGCGACGAGAGAGAAGAUCUCGAGCAGAUCAGGGUGAUUUAAAGCAGAGGCGGCGAGAAUUUAUUGAUAUGAUAUGAGAGCUUUUUAGAGAGAGAUUAACGCCGCUGGCAACUCUCUCUCUAUCCUCUUUUCUUACCCAUUUCUCUCUGACGCUAUAUUUUCAUACUCUGACGCCAUUUCUCCUUCCCUCCAUACAAGGCUGGUUUUUUUCUUUUAAGCUUUCCUGACUGUUUAAUUAUUAUUUCCCGCUAGUUUUUCCACAUCUACUUGAUUUUCUUACUUGAAUUUUUACUCUUUCCACUAUUCUCUUUCUCUGGGUUCGGUUGAGGGCACCCACCAUUGUUCUCUCUGGUUGGCUGUUGUGAGCGUAAUCAGACAUCAACGUGUCAUUAAGGGGAGGAAAUCAGUGGGGACAGCGCGAAAUUCGAGGUGUUUGUGUGAAGGCAGAGACUGUCUUAGUCCAAUGUAUAUUAUGGUCUGCUGGUGGUGUGUUUCAUAGGGAGGGACAGAUGGAAAUCUCCAUAAGAACCCGCCAUUUCUGGUCUGGGUUUUGAGAUUGUGCCUGGCUGGAGAAACGUCUCCAAAUUUGUCAUCUGAUAAAUAGGGAGAAUUGGUGCUGUGGUGGUAUGGGCAGUUUCAGACAAUACAGUGGCUUAGUUUGUAUACUUUUGUGAAGGUUCUAUUGUGGUUUUUGGCUAUUCGUUAGGGUAAUUUGGGGAUAGAAAAAAAAUGAAGUUUAUGAAGUUGGGGUCGAAGCCUGAUGCGUUUCAAGCAGAAGGCAAAUCCAUCAGGCAGGAUGCUGUUUCCAUUGUAUGAACUCAUCGUGAUCAAUGUGCUCAUGCAGGUAUGUGUCAUCCGAGCUGGCUACUGAUGUCACCAUAAAUGUUGGUGAAGUUAAGUUUUACCUCCACAAGUUUCCUAUCUUGUCAAAAAGUAAUCGCUUGCAAAAACUAGUGUUGAAAGCUAAUGAGGAGAAUUCUGAUGAAAUUAAUAUCCUUGAUUUUCCUGGUGGGCCAAAGGCUUUUGAAAUUUGUGCUAAAUUCUGCUACGGAAUGACUGUUACUCUCAAUGCUUACAAUGUAGUAGCUGCUCGUUGUGCAGCUGAGUACCUUGAGAUGACUGAGGAUAUUGAUCGAGGGAACCUUAUUUUCAAAAUUGAGGUAUUUCUGAACUCUAGUAUUUUCCGAAGCUGGAAGGAUUCCAUCAUUGUUCUUCAAACCACGAAAUCUCUUCUGCCUUGGUCUGAAGAUCUGAAGAUUGUGGGAAGAUGCAUAGAUUCUAUUGCGUCUAAAACCUCUGUGGAUCCUGCAAACAUUACUUGGUCAUACACAUAUAAUAGAAAGUUAUCAGUGCCUGAUAAAAUAGUUGAAGAUGGUUUUAAGUUUCGAGAGAAAAUUGAAUCUGUUCCAAGGGAUUGGUGGGUUGAAGAUAUGUGUGAGCUGGAUGUUGAUCUCUACAAGCGAGUUAUGAUUUCUGUUAAAUCAAAGGGAAGAAUGGAUGGUACAGUUAUUGGGGAGGCACUGAAAACUUAUGCAGUCAGAUGGUUGCCAGAUACAUUUGAUGAAAUGGUUUCUGAUGGUUGUACUUGGAAGUACAAAUAUCUGGUGGAAACACUGGUUUGUUUAUUGCCUUCGGACAAGGGUGUAGGCUGUCCAUGUAGUUUAUUGCUGAAAUUGUUGAAAAUUGCCAUAUUUGUUGGAGUGGAUGAUUUGCCUAGGGAAGAUUUGGUAAAGAGAAUCAGUUUAAAGUUGCAUGAGGCCUCUGUUAACGACUUGCUGAUCCCAGCACAGUCCCCUCAAACCACAUUAUAUGAUGUGGAAUUGGUAAAAUGCCUUGUGAAUCGUUAUAUGACAAAUGAGAAGUAUAGUCAAGAUUUGAGUGUUGAGAAGAAUGACGAUGAUUUUGUUUUGUGGCAUGGGCAUGGAUACGUGUUGAAUGUUGGAAAAAUAAUUGAUGGAUAUCUUUCAGAAAUUGCAAAUGACCCAAAUCUCACCCUUGUCAGUUUUAUUGACUUGUCACAAUCUAUUCCCGAGUCUGCUAGACCAACUCAUGAUGGACUGUACAAAGCCAUUGACACCUAUCUAAAGGAGCAUCCCAGUUUGACAAAGGCUGAAAGAAAGAAGAUAUGUGCACUGAUGGAUGUCAAGAAACUGACAACAGAUGUAUCAACGCAUGCUGCACAGAAUGAGCGGCUCCCGCUUCGUGUUGUGGUCCAAGUUUUAUUUUUUGAGCAGGUCAGAGCAAGUGCUGGUGUUCAAGCUCUUAAAAACAAUACACGUGAUGCUUCAAAUUCAAUGACAAACACGGAUGAAGAAUGUGAGAAAACAGCAGCAGAUGAUAACAACUAUCUCAAGAGACAGAUGAGUAAACUGAAGAUAAAAGAUGAAGAAUUCCAGAAAAACGGAAAACUGAUGAAGAAAAACAGCAAGAACAACAAAAGUGGCCUGCAGUUGCUGCCAUCUCGAUCAAGGAGAAUAUUUGACAAGUUAUGGGUCAUGGGGAAAGGGCAAGGAGAGAACAGAAGCUCAGAGACAUCUGGGAGUUCACAGAGCGCAACAUCAAUGGUUCCAGGAGACACCAAGUCCUCUGGUUCAUCCUCAAGACAAAGGAGACAUUCUAUCUCCUAAGAGAGGAAUUCAAACUUCAUCAGCAGUAAACCGUGAAUGAAAACUAAAAUCUGUUUCAAGUGUAAAAAGUGGUAGGAUUUUGUUUUAGUUGAUAAUGAUGGGUUUAUCUUUUUUAACUUUAUCCUAUCCGGAAAAAUGUAAUAAUUUUUUUUCCUUUUUUAUUGGGUUUUUUCGUGGGGGCUGGCUAGUGUCUAACAUCUGUUGGUUCCAUUAUCAAGAUUAUAUAUGUCUAAUGUGAAUCACGUAGGUUAUCCCAGAAAUAUUGAAUAUUGUUCAUGUAGUAAAAGUUUUUGGGCUUCUUAUUAUGAAUUCUGUUGUAAGCUCCGGCGAAGAUUGAUGUGUGCAGCUUCUGCUUUGAGAUAUUCAAUUGUUGUUCUACAUUAGCAUGUCGUGCAACAAUCUUACCAACAAUUCAUCUUCAAGAAUAACGAUUGGGAUUUUUAUGAUGGCGUUUUCUUUGUGAACUCUGAUUUACUUCUUGUAAUUUGGUUAAUGCGCAAUCGCAAAAUGUACGAAAAGUCGGAGGAAGGAUGAAGGGUUGCUAAUUACAUAAGGCCAUGGAGAUGGAGGUUCACACUGCUACGGAAAAGAUAAAGAAAGAGAAGCAGACGCAAGACAUUCAAUGAUUUGAAGAGCAAAAUGAGACUCAAAAGACGAAGUUAGCAUUGCACUUGCUCUGUUUCUCUUCACCAAUAUUUGCUUCAUGACAGUAGCUGAAUCACAAUGCAAAGACCUACCUCCUCUGCUUCACUGCGUUCUUUCCACCGGUAAUUAUCUUUUCUUUUUUCUGUUCACUCUGGUUAAUAUUCUUCUCAUAGGCCAUGUGCUCCGUUGGUUGGCUGGUAAUUCAACCAAGAAAUUGGAUAUUGUAGCUCAAUACUGGCAGUUACUCGCACAUUCUGAUGAUUCUCAUUUCAGCGAUUGUGGAUAUUCUAGAGAUGACAUGAAAAAGUUCAGAGCAUUUGAAGGUUCGGCCGUUGAUAGAGCCAUAGGGGAUGCCGCAGGUCGCAAUGUUAGUAUCAUGUGUCUUUUCUAUACAUCUGUUUCCAUAUCAAGAAAAUGUCAUCGAUCAUAAAGAAAAUUGCUGCUGUGUUCGUUCAAAGAACCCACUGACCUUGCUUCAGGGAGGCCAAAUGGGAAUACUGUGGCCUUGUUGCUAGGGGAACAGAGGGAAUCAGAUAUAGUCCAUGACAAAGUUUGGAUGUCUUGUAAGGCUCCUAAUUUUUAAAUUUAUUAUUUUGUGAGUAAUAUUAAUAUUUUAAUUUUAUU
RNAcentral lists this unclassified non-coding RNA (4076 nucleotides) under Hevea brasiliensis (rubber tree). Lineage: Eukaryota; Viridiplantae; Streptophyta; Magnoliopsida; Malpighiales; Euphorbiaceae. The record is from RNAcentral.